RNAcentral lists this ribosomal RNA (401 nucleotides) under Padina arborescens. RNAcentral's name for it is "LSU rRNA". It matches the Rfam family "Eukaryotic large subunit ribosomal RNA", at positions 183 to 467 of the family's 3401-position model. Lineage: Eukaryota; Phaeophyceae; Dictyotales; Dictyotaceae. The record is from RNAcentral.
AAGUCUGAUUGGAAAUGAGCAUCAUGGAGGGUGAUAGUCCCGUUUGUGCCGUGGUCGUCGUGCGGGGUGAUGGCCCGUUUUCGACGAGUCGAGUUGCUUGGGAUUGCAGCUCUAAGUGGGUGGUAAACUCCAUCUAAAGCUAAACACGCGGGGGAGACCGAUAGCGAACAAGUACCGUGAGGGAAAGAUGCAAAGAACUUUGAAAAGAGAGUUAAAGAGUGCCUGAAAUCGCUGGGAGGGAAGCGAGGGAAAGCAGUGUCUGGCGGUCAAAUCGCUCCCCCGUAGCCCUUCGGGGCUCGGGCUGCGCUCCGCUGUUGCCAGGGCCGGGUGGGGCCCGCGGGAUACGCGCCGCCGGGUAAGGUGGCCCAGGCGCCCUCGGGCGCUCGGGUGAAUACCGGCGU